RNAcentral lists this ribosomal RNA (529 nucleotides) under Aquiflexum sp. RNAcentral describes it as "bacterial SSU rRNA". It matches the Rfam family "Bacterial small subunit ribosomal RNA", at positions 222 to 749 of the family's 1533-position model. Lineage: Bacteria; Pseudomonadati; Bacteroidota; Cytophagia; Cytophagales; Cyclobacteriaceae. The record is from RNAcentral.
GGGAUGGGCAUGCGUAGGAUUAGUUAGUUGGCGGGGUAACGGCCCACCAAGACUGUGAUCCUUAGGGGUUCUGAGAGGAAGGUCCCCCACACUGGCACUGAGAUACGGGCCAGACUCCUACGGGAGGCAGCAGUAGGGAAUAUUGGGCAAUGGGCGGGAGCCUGACCCAGCCAUGCCGCGUGCAGGAAGAAGGCGUUAUGCGUUGUAAACUGCUUUUAUACGGGAAGAAAAGGCCCAUGCGUGGGACAUUGCCGGUACCGUAUGAAUAAGCACCGGCUAACUCCGUGCCAGCAGCCGCGGUAAUACGGAGGGUGCAAGCGUUGUCCGGAUUUAUUGGGUUUAAAGGGUGCGUAGGCGGCCCGUUAAGUCAGCGGUGAAAGUCUGUGGCUCAACCAUAGAAGCGCCGUUGAUACUGAUGGGCUUGAGUGCCGUAUGGGUACAUGGAAUUGAUGGUGUAGCGGUGAAAUGCAUAGAUACCAUCAGGAACACCGAUAGCGUAGGCAUUGUACUGUGCGGCAACUGACGCUGA